UUGAGACGAGUGGCGAACUGGUGAGUAACACGUGGGUAACCUGCCCUUGAAGUAGGGGAUAACACUUGGAAACAGGUGCUAAUACCGUAUAACAACCAAAACCACCUGGUUUUGGUUUAAAAGAUGGCUUCGGCUAUCACUUUAGGAUGGACCCGCGGCGUAUUAGCUUGUUGGUAAGGUAACGGCCUACCAAGGCAAUGAUACGUAGCCGACCUGAGAGGGUAAUCGGCCACAUUGGGACUGAGACACGGCCCAAACUCCUACGGGAGGCAGCAGUAGGGAAUCUUCCACAAUGGACGAAAGUCUGAUGGAGCAACGCCGCGUGAGUGAUGAAGGGUUUCGGCUCGUAAAACUCUGUUGUUGGAGAAGAACAGGUGUGAGAGUAACUGUUCACAUCUUGACGGUAUCCAACCAGAAAGCCACGGCUAACUACGUGCCAGCAGCCGCGGUAAUACGUAGGUGGCAAGCGUUGUCCGGAUUUAUUGGGCGUAAAGCGAGCGCAGGCGGUUUCUUAGGUCUGAUGUGAAAGCCUUCGGCUUAACCGGAGAAGUGCAUCGGAAACCAGGAGACUUGAGUGCAGAAGAGGACAGUGGAACUCCAUGUGUAGCGGUGAAAUGCGUAGAUAUAUGGAAGAACACCAGUGGCGAAGGCGGCUGUCUGGUCUGUAACUGACGCUGAGGCUCGAAAGCAUGGGUAGCGAACAGGAUUAGAUACCCUGGUAGUCCAUGCCGUAAACGAUGAGUGCUAAGUGUUGGAGGGUUUCCGCCCUUCAGUGCUGCAGCUAACGCAUUAAGCACUCCGCCUGGGGAGUACGACCGCAAGGUUGAAACUCAAAGGAAUUGACGGGGGCCCGCACAAGCGGUGGAGCAUGUGGUUUAAUUCGAUGCUACGCGAAGAACCUUACCAGGUCUUGACAUCUUCUGCCAACCUAAGAGAUUAGGCGUUCCCUUCGGGGACAGAAUGACAGGUGGUGCAUGGUUGUCGUCAGCUCGUGUCGUGAGAUGUUGGGUUAAGUCCCGCAACGAGCGCAACCCUUAUUGUUAGUUGCCAGCAUUCAGUUGGGCACUCUAGCAAGACUGCCGGUGACAAACCGGAGGAAGGUGGGGAUGACGUCAAAUCAUCAUGCCCCUUAUGACCUGGGCUACACACGUGCUACAAUGGACGGUACAACGAGUCGCGAAACCGCGAGGUCAAGCUAAUCUCUUAAAGCCGUUCUCAGUUCGGAUUGUAGGCUGCAACUCGCCUACAUGAA
RNAcentral lists this ribosomal RNA (1252 nucleotides) under Lentilactobacillus parabuchneri. RNAcentral's name for it is "bacterial SSU rRNA". It matches the Rfam family "Bacterial small subunit ribosomal RNA", at positions 86 to 1324 of the family's 1533-position model. Lineage: Bacteria; Bacillati; Bacillota; Bacilli; Lactobacillales; Lactobacillaceae. The record is from RNAcentral.